RNAcentral lists this ribosomal RNA (421 nucleotides) under uncultured eukaryote. Its description in RNAcentral is "SSU rRNA". It matches the Rfam family "Eukaryotic small subunit ribosomal RNA", at positions 592 to 1017 of the family's 1831-position model. The record is from RNAcentral.
CAAUAGCGUAUAUUUAAGUUGUUGCAGUUAAAAUCUCGUAGUUGGAUUUCGGAUGUGAUCAAUCGGUCCGCCGUUGCGGUGUGCACUGGACGUGUGUAUCUUGUUGUCGGGGACGCGCUCCUGACCUUAACUGGGAGGGACGUGGAGUCGGCGAUGUUACUUUGACAAAAUUAGAGUGUUCAAAGCAGGCAACCGCUCUGAAUACAUUAGCAUGGAAUAACGCUAUAGGACUCUGGUCCUAUUGUGUUGGUCUUCGGGACCCGGAGUAAUGAUUAAGAGGGACAGUUGGGGGCAUUCGUAUUUCAUUGUCAGAGGUGAAAUUCUUGGAUUAAUGAAAGACGAACUUUUGCGAAAGCAUUUGCCAAGGAUGUUUUCAUUAAUCAAGAAUAAAAGUUGGGGGCUCGAAGACGAUCAGAUACCG